GUCUACUAAAAAGGGUCCAAACAAACACUGAAAAUAUACAUAAGCGAAUGAGUUUUGCUAGCUUUAUCUCAAGGGUCAUUAAAGCCCUUGAAAUAAGUCAACAUAACCGUUUAGGGUAAAAAAAAAAAAGGAAAUUACGGACCAGUCUUUAGGCUUAGCAGCAUUCCCGCGAGAGCUUUGGCUCCAAAAUAUUACAUUUUUCGGCACCACUUUUACGCGACCCUCGUAAUAAAGAUAUUCCAAAACCUCAACAGAAUGUGGUCGACGACUUAGCUCCGGUGCACGGUGGUCGGAGAUAUCAUCUCCGAUGACGAGCUGAGGGCACGGUGGUCGGAAAUAUCAUCUCCUCCACUUCUUCGUUCGUUUACAGGAUUUAUGCUGACUGGAUCAAUACUCAUGGUUGGUGGCAAUAAUGCUCAGCUUAAGUUGCUGCAUAAUUGAUGCUGGUGCUGCUUAAGUUGCUGCAUAAUUGCUGGGCUGUUGUUGGAGGUGUGAUGGAUGCUUUGAUUGAUUUGGUGUGUCAUUACCAAACACAAAUAUACAUUACAAGUUUACUUUAUCCUAGUUUUAUUUAUUUUUCCACAACAUUGCCUGAUGAGACUAUUUUGGCAAGAGUUAGUCUAUAGCUCUGCCUUUUGUUACUAUCAAAUGUUGGAUGUUUGAUUGCUUGAAUAUUAACUAAUACCAUGCAAUAGGUAACAAUCUA
Quercus lobata is the source of this 706-nucleotide long non-coding RNA. RefSeq lists it as uncharacterized. The transcript is spliced from 2 exons. Lineage: Eukaryota; Viridiplantae; Streptophyta; Magnoliopsida; Fagales; Fagaceae. The record is from RefSeq and is a predicted model, not a curated record.